GGGGUAGCUUCGGUUGAGCUGUCAGACCCCCGACCCGACAGCUCAACCGGAGCGCCUC
RNAcentral lists this small RNA (58 nucleotides) under Gordonia polyisoprenivorans VH2. RNAcentral describes it as "F6 TB sRNA". It matches the Rfam family "F6 TB sRNA". The record is from Rfam by way of RNAcentral. Lineage: Bacteria; Bacillati; Actinomycetota; Actinomycetes; Mycobacteriales; Gordoniaceae.